RNAcentral lists this ribosomal RNA (497 nucleotides) under uncultured bacterium. Its description in RNAcentral is "partial 16S ribosomal RNA". It matches the Rfam family "Bacterial small subunit ribosomal RNA", at positions 28 to 507 of the family's 1533-position model. The record is from RNAcentral.
GAUGAACGCUGGCGGCGUGCCUAAUACAUGCAAGUCGAGCGAACAGACGAGGAGCUUGCUCCUCUGACGUUAGCGGCGGACGGGUGAGUAACACGUGGAUAACCUACCUAUAAGACUGGGAUAACUUCGGGAAACCGGAGCUAAUACCGGAUAAUAUAUUGCACCGCAUGGUUCAAUAGUGAAAGACGGUUUUGCUGUCACUUAUAGAUGGAUCCUCGCCGCAUUAGCUAGUUGGUAAGGUAACGGCUUACCAAGGCAACGAUGCGUAGCCGACCUGAGAGGGGGAUCGGCCACACUGGAACUGAGACACGGUCCAGACUCCUACGGGAGGCAGCAGUAGGGAAUCUUCCGCAAAGGGCGAAAGCCUGACGGAGCAACGCCGCGUGAGUGAUGAAGGUCUUCGGAUCGUAAAACUCUGUUAUUAGGGAAGAACAAAUGUGUAAGUAACUAUGCACGUCUUGACGGUACCUAAUCAGAAAGCCACGGCUAACUACGUG